This 22-nucleotide non-coding RNA is filed under the name Mus musculus (house mouse). Lineage: Eukaryota; Metazoa; Chordata; Mammalia; Rodentia; Muridae. The record is from RNAcentral.
ACUUGCAGGGCUUAUAUGGGAC